RNAcentral lists this ribosomal RNA (406 nucleotides) under uncultured bacterium. RNAcentral's name for it is "partial 16S ribosomal RNA". It matches the Rfam family "Bacterial small subunit ribosomal RNA", at positions 30 to 526 of the family's 1533-position model. The record is from RNAcentral.
AUUGAACGCUGGCGGCAGGCCUAACACAUGCAAGUCGAGCGAGCGGCGGACGGGUGAGUAAUGUCUGGGAAACUGCCUGAUGGAGGGGGAUAACUACUGGAAACGGUAGCUAAUACCGCAUACCAUCAGAUGUGCCCAGAUGGGAUUAGCUAGGAGGUGGGGUAAUGGCUCACCUAGGCGACGAUCCCUAGCUGGUCUGCGAGGAUGACCAGCCACCCUGGAACUGAGAACCGGUCCAGACUCCUACGGGAGGAAGACGUGGGGAAUAUUGCACAAUGGGCGCAAGCCUGAUGCAGCCAUGCCGCGUGUAUGAAGAAGGCCUGCGGGUUGUAAAGUACUUUCAGCGAGGAGGCGUUACUCGCAGAAGAAGCACCGGCUAACUCCGUGCCAGCAGCCGCGGUAAUAC